RNAcentral lists this ribosomal RNA (405 nucleotides) under uncultured bacterium. RNAcentral's name for it is "bacterial SSU rRNA". It matches the Rfam family "Bacterial small subunit ribosomal RNA", at positions 356 to 773 of the family's 1533-position model. The record is from RNAcentral.
GGGGAAUAUUGCGCAAUGGGCGAAAGCCUGACGCAGCGACGCCGCGUGGGGGAUGACGGCCUUCGGGUUGUAAACCUCUUUCAGCAGGGACGAAGCGAAAGUGACGGUACCUGCAGAAGAAGCACCGGCCAACUACGCGCCAGCAGCCGCGGUAAUAUGUAGGGUGCAAGCGUUGUCCGGAAUUAUUGGGCGUAAAGAGCUCGUAGGCGGUCUGUCGCGUCGGCUGUGAAAACCCGGAGCUCAACUCCGGGCCUGCAGUCGAUACGGGCAAACUGGAGUGUUGCAGGGGAGACUGGAAUUCCUGGUGUAGCGGUGAAAUGCGCAGAUAUCAGGAGGAACACCGGUGGCGAAGGCGGGUCUCUGGGCAACAACUGACGCUGAGGAGCGAAAGCGUGGGGAGCGAAC